RNAcentral lists this ribosomal RNA (273 nucleotides) under uncultured bacterium. RNAcentral describes it as "partial 16S ribosomal RNA". It matches the Rfam family "Bacterial small subunit ribosomal RNA", at positions 337 to 607 of the family's 1533-position model. The record is from RNAcentral.
UCCUACGGGGGGCAGCAGUGAGGAAUAUUGGUCAAUGGUCGGGAGACUGAACCAGCCAAGCCGCGUGAGGGAUGAAGGUACAGAGUAUCGUAAACCUCUUUUGUCAGGGAACAAAGGCGGGGACGUGUCCCCGGCUGAGUGUACCUGAAGAAAAAGCAUCGGCUAACUCCGUGCCAGCAGCCGCGGUAAUACGGAGGAUGCGGGCGUUAUCCGGAUUUAUUGGGUUUAAAGGGUGCUCAGGCGGCCUGUUAAGUCAUCGGUCAACGCCCGGGG